ACUUCCGCAGCAACCUAAAAAAGUAAUAAAAUGUAAGAAACAUAAUUUAAGAGACAGAAUUUAAGCAACAUAGUUUAAGUGACAAGAUUUAAGAUAUAAUAUUUAAGAAGCAUAAUUCGAGAAAUAAAUGUUGAAAAAGAACACAAUUUAAGAACCCGAAUUAGGAAUCCAAGAACAGUAAGCGAAUCCGCAAGUAAGACACUUGGGUGUCUCGGCAUGAACAUCUCGUUGCGCAGACGUAACGAUGAGAUUGAAAAAGCCGUUUCAGAGAGCAACUGAUUGCGCCCGAAGCCACAAUUGUCUCGCGGAAAGCCCUAAUCACUAUGGAAAAUAACGAUAAGCGCGACGGUGACGGCUGAUCGUCGUACAUAUGUAUGUAGUUUGUUCGCGACGCGACCUUGAAGUCGCCCACCGGACCGAGUUGAGCGCGCUCCGUUGAUCUUGGCCUGACAUUUCAAUGGCCUCUGCGGCUUCGGUUUUCGUGGAAAACCCGCUGCUCUUACGUUUUUUUUUUAAUGUUCCGCAGUCGUGGAAUUCCGGUAGCCCGUGUGCGGUAAGAUACACUGACGUCAGGAUGGAUCCAUUUACUGCGGAAACGUAAUGACCGGCCCUAAGAUUCGAGCGCGACCACUGGAUUGUUGAGAAGGCAAUUCCAAAAUAUACGAUCAGAUUACGGAUUUCGUGGAUCUGCGACGACAAAAAUAGAUAAGUGGGACACAAAACGGGAGAAACAUUGCUAUUAGAGAAACGUAGCUAUUUAUUUCUUUCAUUAAUGUCUAUAGCGAAUUGAAAAUGACAUAAUUUUGAAGUUGUUCAAAUAUUUGAGCGGUAGAACCUCGAUUGUACGGUCUAAGUAUAGAAUAUAAAUAAAUAGAAUAAUUAUUAAGUAACAGAUUUCAUGUUUACUGUGUGUGUGAUGUCUAGCGUGUUGCAAAAUCAAGAAAUAGAUUUGAAGUCUUGUAGUUAGUUUAUUCAAUAAAUGUGAAACUACAGAACAAA
Molecule: non-coding RNA, 999 nt
Organism: Megalopta genalis
Lineage: Eukaryota; Metazoa; Arthropoda; Insecta; Hymenoptera; Halictidae
Source: RefSeq, a predicted model, not a curated record